Molecule: long non-coding RNA, 2228 nt
Organism: Equus caballus (horse)
Lineage: Eukaryota; Metazoa; Chordata; Mammalia; Perissodactyla; Equidae
Source: RefSeq, a predicted model, not a curated record
CAGCAGAACUGUAGGACAGAGGAUGCUGACACAACCCAUGCUGAAGGCCAUGUCUCAACAGGAGGACCUUAGUUCCAGAGGGACCUAGACUACCUGUUCUCCCCUGACUUCCCAAUGUUAAUGAAAACCCAGUACAUGGUAAGUCUUUGAUAAUCCUUGUAGAAUGGAUGAAUAAACUAUUUUGUUCUCAGGCUGGAAUUUGAUUCCUCAAAUGACAUACUAUAUUUUUUGGGCCUUUUUUUCCCCAUUAAAUUAUGCCAUGACACAUAAAUAUUUUUUCUUUCAUUUUCACCUACUUCUAGGGUUUGUUUUUUUUUUUUUUUGGUUUGGUUUAUUUUUGCUUUGUUUUCCCAAACAGAGUAAUGAAAAGGCUGAGUAGAGCUGCUUUUAAAAGUUGAAGUGCCCUGGGCCAGUCUCAGAUUGUACUUUGCUUGGGCACCUGUGGGUUAGUUUCAGAAGAAGAGGAAGAAGACAGAUUUUUCACAAAUUGUGAUCAUCCCAUAUCUCUUUGUCUUUCUUCUCCAUCUCCCAGACCUCCAUUACACAGAGUUCAAUAGUUAUGAAUCCUUGAGGCUUCUGCUAAAUCCAUUUGUUGGGUAGUAUCCUCUCUCAGCCAUGUUCUGCUUGUCAUUUCUUAAAUUUUCCCAAGGCUUUGUGGUCUGGUAAGUUGAUUUGUUGGAGAAAGAAGAAUGUUCUUGCUUAAAAUACUUAAAAUUCAGGAGAUUGUUCUGAACAAAUUUUCUUGGCAAUGGAGAAAAUAGAUGCUGUAAAAAUUCUAAUUUGUUUCUCUAAUUCCAACAAAUUCAUUGGUGUUCAUCUGAAAGCACCCUGCAGAUUAUAACGACUGUGUCACCCCUUCAUAGGAAAGGCAUAUUGACUUGAAUAGGAUAUUCAGUGAUAGGCAGCCUUUGUCAAUAUCUCAGGCAUUCAUUCUUAUUUGAGGCUGGUGAUAGUUAUUAAUUUAUUUCUUGAGGCACAACAUCACUAUUCAGUCAUUUGGUUUAUAAUAAAAAAUAGCAACAAGUAUCAUUAAAAUGGGCUGACAUGAGCUCACUCCUUGCCCAGGUGGCCUCACAAUUCAUGGUGGGGGUAGGUUGGGAUAGGAGAGUCUUUCUUUCAAAUUCCCAGAGAAAGGAAUUCCUGAACGCUUCUGGCUAAUUAGCGCAACACAUAGAAAAGAAAGUUUAUUACUAAACUCUAGAAAAGACUCCUGGUUUUUUUGAUCCUGUUUAGUAAAAAAACCAAAUAGUUCAAAGAGUUUCUUCUCAAUAAAUGGUGUUUUGAUGAUGGCCAGUGUUCAUUAAAUAAGUCCAUUGCACAACUAGUCCACUUCCAUUUAACUUUUCUGUGUGCAUUUGAGUUUAUUUUGCUUUAAAUGCAGUGAUUUAGGAGAUUAGGUAAACUGAUCUGCAGACUCUUCUUAAAUAGUAUCUUUCUCACUAAAAUGUCAGGUGUGCCAAAAUCCUGCCCAAUGUUCACAUGUUCAAAAUAGCUUCUUAUAAUACAAAGAUACAGAAUUCUCCAGCAAUAAAGUAUCUGGUUUAUGAAAAUUGUUCAAUUACAUGAUGCAGGAGUUUUCCAGCCCCAAAAUCUUUGGGUGUCAUGAAAAAUUUCUUAUAAUGGGAUAGAGGUAGUUUUUAAAAAUAAUUUACUCUUGUUUUCUUCUUAUUAAUAUACUCUAUGUUGAUUAGAGAAAACUUUGAAAAUAUAGAGCUGAACACAUAAGAAAAAAAAAUACCCACAAUCUCACUGUACAGAGCUAACUACUGAGAAUAUUUCAUAUACACCCUUCCAGCAUUCCAGCAUUUUUAUAUAUAUUCAUAUAUACAUACUUUUAAUUUAGGAAUUUUUCAUUCUACAUGAUAUUUUGUCUUCUGCUUUCUUAACCUAACAAUGUUUUUCAAACAAUAUACCAUGUCCUAAGAUAUUCCUUUGGUCUGCAAUGUUUUUAUUUUUAAUGAUUUCAUAGUCAUUAUUUUUAAUGAUUUUAUAAUAAUAAGCUAAUGCUUAUUAAAUAUUUACUGUGUGCCAGUCACCACUUUCAUUUAUUUAAACCUUAUGACAGUUCUAUAUGGCAGAUAAUAUUAUUGACUCCAUUUUAAAGAUGAAGAAACCAAGACACAGAGAGGGUAAGUUACUUACCCAAAAUAAUAUGCCUUCUUUUUUGGAGCGUUUUGGUUGUUUGUCGUGCUUUUUUUUCUGUAAUAAAUAAAUCUAUACACACAAAA